Long non-coding RNA from Mastomys coucha (southern multimammate mouse), 741 nucleotides. RefSeq lists it as uncharacterized. The transcript has 3 exons. The record is from RefSeq and is a predicted model, not a curated record. Lineage: Eukaryota; Metazoa; Chordata; Mammalia; Rodentia; Muridae.
GAGAACAAAGAGCAUUCAUCCAGCCAGGGGGGAGUCAAGAUCAAUAGUUAAGUACCAGAAACUUCACUGAGGCCAAAUGCCACCAUAUAGCCUUUGUCAGAGGUGAACAGAGUUCAUGGAACUGUCAAACUAGUGAUACACCACAGAACACAAGCUGUAACAGCUAUGAGUAGAAUUCAAUGAAAAGGAAAGCUUAGUUGCUGUGGAUAAAAAUGGAACAGGUUCUAGAGUUAAGAAAGAAGACUAGCAUGGCUGUCCUCUGAGAGGUUCUAGCAGCAUCUGACUGAGGCAGAUGCAGACCCUCAUCAUGAAGACGGUGAUGAUAAUCCUAUAAGAAGACCAAUAGUGUCAGUGAACCUGGACUGCUGGGUGCUCUCAGAGACUAAGCCACCAACCAAAGAGUAUAUGCAUGGGCUGGUCUAAGAACCCUGGCACAUAUGUAACAGAGUGCUGUCUUCUCUGGUUGAAGGAGGAGAAAAUGUGACUUGAUGCCGCAGAAUGGGGAGAUGCCAUGAGGGUACAUUCUCAGAGGCAAAGCUAGCAAGAAUGUCAAAGAAAUCUGUGAGGGGGGACCAUGAAGGGGGUAACAUGUGGCUUGUAAAUAAAUAAAAUAAUUAAUAAAAAUGAGAAAAAAGAUAUCCUAUGACAAAAUCAAUUUAAAUAGUAUUUAUCUACAAAUCCAGCCUUAUAGAUGGUGCCAGAAAGAAAAUUCAAACUUAAAAGAGUCAACUGAACCCAUGA